RNAcentral lists this long non-coding RNA (337 nucleotides) under Mytilus galloprovincialis (Mediterranean mussel). The record is from RNAcentral. Lineage: Eukaryota; Metazoa; Mollusca; Bivalvia; Mytilida; Mytilidae.
CUAUUACAAACAAAAGAUCUUCUAAAAAAUAUAUAGAGUCAUAAACAUUACCUCUUUACUUUGCUGAUGAUUAAUUUCUUUGUUCUCCAUCUCUUUCAACAAUUUCUCGAUCUUUUGUGUUAAAGUCUCAUUAUUUUUGCUCUUCUUCUGCAUUUUCUCCUCCUUAUCUCUCAAUUUCAGUUCUAAUUUUUCUAAUUCUUUGUUAUUUUUCUCAAUACACUGAAUGCUUGUUAACUGGGUUUGCUGUAUUUCUUUGGUUAAUUCAAUGAAUUUUGCUUUGAGUUCCAAAUUUUCUUUCCUUUGCCUUUCCAAUUCAUUGGAUAUUAAUUUCAUUUCU